CACGCCUCCCGGUCUCCCGCCCCGGUUCCCCGCGGGCUGCUGUGCGUAGAACAGCGCGGUCCUAGGCAGGGCUGGUGACCCAGGAGCCGCAGGUUUUAUUGGUCGGGAAUCAACUGGGGCGUGAUGAAUGGAGGUAAAUAACCGCCGAGCAACCGGAAUCGUCCGACUCACGUCAUUAAUUAGCAACUAAUUUCAGAGUUGUCUCGGAUGGUUGAUGUCCGGAAAGCCACGUGCCAAUUGACCAGGGGUGGCAAGAUUAGAAAGAUGUAGAGAUCCAGGACACAGCCUGGGUAUGUGAUCGCCCACACAGCUGUGGUCUGCAAGUGAAAAGCCAGUCGCCUGCAAAGUUAAACCAGGCUCUCUGUCGUCACUCAUCACACUACUCCCACCUCCUUCCAUUCCGCUUGCUGAAGUCACAGAGAGAGGAAUUCCUCAUUGCCCUGGCCUUCGAAUUGCUGCAAGUGUGGAGCGUGAGGUGAUGGUACACACCUGUAAUCCCAGCACUUGGAGGUGGAGGUGGAGAUGGGAGGAUUUGGAGUUGAAGGCAAACUGGGGCUACAUAACAAGAUACUGUAUCAAAACAAAUUUUGGAAUCCUGACCUUCAAAGGACUUUCACAACUCUGGUCCACCAAUGCUUUGUGUGGCACUCUGCUGGUUAUCAACUGUCACUGAAAGUUUUCCUCUUUCACAGUUUAGGAGGCCUUAUCAUCAAAAUAACUCCAGUGAGGAAAAUCCAGAUGCUCACCUUGAAGCUUGCAAUAAACCAGAGGAAUGGUUACAUAACACUCCGGAGCACUGAAGCUCUUCUGGAAAUGCAUCUUUCUUCUAUGGAGCAGCACUCAUGUCUUUGAACCCAAGCAACAUUUGCUGUGAACCAUGGAAAUGUCUCAAAAACUCCGAAGUUCCAAUAACUGAAGAGAAGCACAAAGCCUGAGAAAUGCACGUGCGUUAAAGUCCAGUGGCUCUCAAGGAUUCUAAGCGAAUAAAGAGCCCGAGGGGUUUUUCCGUAUAGCAGACUUCAGUGGGGAAAACCACUCCACUUACAAAGCAAGCCCCGAGGGGAACAGCUCACAGCUGUGUGUGUGGCUAUGCUUGUAGAACCAGGCUAUCAAUUUGGCCAAAGAUGGAAAAGGAGUCAUGAAGCUGCUUCUGGGAGUGGCAGCAGGUGCCCAUUUGUACUGUUGCCAUGAGGAGACAAUCCAGAACCCCACACCAAACCACUAAGGCGGACCCAGUGAAAGCCAAACAGUCCUAGCAGAGCUAAGCUGGAAAUGAGCCCGUGGGGCCCUUCAUGAAUCAGAGCCCAUGGAAUUCACAGGGAAUCUACAGUUCUUAACGGUAAAGAAGGACUGGGCGAUCCUUGCGUCUUUCCUAGGGUCCUUCUUACUAGCUUGCCUCCCUGGAGCUGUGGGUUGCAGUCUGGUUAUCCCUUGCUUUACAUCUAGUAUCCACUUUUGAGUGAGUACAUACUG
Molecule: long non-coding RNA, 1473 nt
Organism: Peromyscus californicus insignis
Lineage: Eukaryota; Metazoa; Chordata; Mammalia; Rodentia; Cricetidae
Exons: 5
Source: RefSeq, a predicted model, not a curated record